Molecule: non-coding RNA, 940 nt
Organism: Callithrix jacchus (white-tufted-ear marmoset)
Lineage: Eukaryota; Metazoa; Chordata; Mammalia; Primates; Cebidae
Source: RefSeq, a predicted model, not a curated record
UGCACAUCACAAGCCACAUCAUAUAUCAGGCUCUCAGCUCCUUAAUGCAAGUAUUUCCCAUGAGAAGAAAGCUGUCAAGGGCAACACACUUUCCACACGCAGACAUUUCAAGUUAAGAUAAUGACCUCCAGUUCCAUCCAUCUUGCUGCGGAAGACAUAAUUUUAGUCUUUUAUAUGGCUGGAUAAUAUCCCAUUGUAUGACUCAGAAGACACUUACUCCACCUCUGCACUUACGAUGCAGAAGACACUUGCUCCACCUCUGCAGUUACGGUGCAGAAGACACUUGCUCCACCUCUGCAGUUACAAUGCAGAAGACACUUGCUCCACCUCUGCAGUUAGGAUGCACAAGACAGUUGCUCCACCUCUGCAGUUACAAUGCAGAAGACACUUGCUCCACCUCUAAAGUUACGAUGCACAAGACAGUUGCUCCACCUCUGCAGUUACAAUGCAGAAGACACUUGCUCCACAUCUGAAGUUACAGUGCAGAAGACACUUGCUCCACCUCUGCAGUUACAGUGCAGAAGACAGUUGCUCCACUUCUGCAGUUACAAUGCAGAAGACACUGGCUCCACCUCUGCAGUUACAGUGCCGAAGACACUUGCUCCACCUCUGCAGUUACAAUGCAGAAGACAGUUGCUCCACCUCUGCAGUUACAAUGCAGAAGACAGUUGCUCCACCUCUGCAGAUACAGUGCAGAAGACAGUUGCUCCACCUCUGCAGUUACAGUGCAGAAGACACUUGCUCCACCUCUGCAGUUACAGUGCAGAAGACACUUGCUCCACCUCUGCAGUUAUGAUGCAGAAGACACUUGCUCCACCUCUGCAGUUACGAUGCAGAAGACACUUGCUCCACCUCUGCAGUUACGAUGCCGAAGACACUUGCUCCACCUCUGCAGUUACAGUGCAGAAGACAGUUGCUCCACCGCUGCAGUUACAGUGCA